CCUACGGGAGGCUGCAGUGAGGAAUAUUGGUCAAUGGCCUUACGCCUGAACCAGCCAAGUCGCGUGAGGGAAGACUGCCCUAUGGGUUGUAAACCUCUUUUGUCAGGGAGCAAUUGGCGCUACGUGUAGCGUUAUCGAGAGUACCUGAAGAAAAAGCAUCGGCUAACUCCGUGCCAGCAGCCGCGGUAAUACGGAGGAUGCGAGCGUUAUCCGGAUUUUUUGGGUUUAAAGGGUGCGUAGGCGGAAUGUCAAGUCAGCGGUAAAAGCGCGGGGUUCAACCUCGCUCCGCCGUUGAAACUGGCGUGCUUGAGUGGGCGAGAAGUAUGCGGAAUGCGUGGUGUAGCGGUGAAAUGCAUAGAUAUCACGCAGAACUCCGAUUGCGAAGGCAGCAUACCGGCGGCGAACUGACGCUGAAGCACGAAAGCGUGGGUAUCGAACAGGAUUAGAUACCCGAGUAGUC
RNAcentral lists this ribosomal RNA (460 nucleotides) under uncultured bacterium. RNAcentral's name for it is "partial 16S ribosomal RNA". It matches the Rfam family "Bacterial small subunit ribosomal RNA", at positions 338 to 795 of the family's 1533-position model. The record is from RNAcentral.